RNAcentral lists this unclassified non-coding RNA (209 nucleotides) under fungal sp. RNAcentral describes it as "partial internal transcribed spacer region". Lineage: Eukaryota; Fungi. The record is from RNAcentral.
AAGUCGUAACAAGGUUUCCGUAGCCUGCGGAAGGAUCAUUAACACGUAUCCAAACGUUAAAACCCCCCCCGUGAACCUUCAUCGUGCUCUUGCAACCCGCGUAGUUCGCAAUCUCUGAUAAAUCAUAGCCCGGAAAGUUGUAGUGAUUCAGAGACCUCUGGCUACGUGGAACAGUUACAAUUGAGCGAACAAUGGAUAUCUUGGUUCUC